This 350-nucleotide RNase P RNA is filed under the name Flavobacteriales bacterium. RNAcentral describes it as "RNase P RNA component class A". It matches the Rfam family "Bacterial RNase P class A". Rfam says of the family: Ribonuclease P (RNase P) is a ubiquitous endoribonuclease, found in archaea, bacteria and eukarya as well as chloroplasts and mitochondria. Its best characterised activity is the generation of mature 5'-ends of tRNAs by cleaving the 5'-leader elements of precursor-tRNAs. The record is from RNAcentral. Lineage: Bacteria; Pseudomonadati; Bacteroidota; Flavobacteriia; Flavobacteriales.
AAAGCAAACCGUUCUAUCGCUCUGCAUUUAUUUGUAGAGAGGAAAGUCCGGGCUCCACAGGGCAAUGCAGCGGGUAACGCCCGUCAUUCUGAUAGCAAUAUCGGGAUAGGACCAGUGCAACAGAAAGGAUGUACGUCUUGAUAGUUCGCUUGCGAAUUUAUUAAGAGCUGUAGUGAAAUCAGGUAAACUCUGCGUGGAGCAAGACCAAAUAAAGGGAGAGAAGUGGCCCGCUUCAUUUGAUCCCAGGGUAGGUUGUUAGAUCUUAUCAGCAAUGGUAAGACUAGACAAAUGAUAGAAACCUAAACGUUUUCGUUUGGGUACAGAACCCGGCUUAUAGGUUUGCAUAUUAU